GAUGAACGCUGGCGGCGUGCCUAAUACAUGCAAGUCGAGCGAACAGACGAGGAGCUUGCUCCUCUGACGUUAGCGGCGGACGGGUGAGUAACACGUGGAUAACCUACCUAUAAGACUGGGAUAACUUCGGGAAACCGGAGCUAAUACCGGAUAAUAUAUUGAACCGCAUGGUUCAAUAGUGAAAGACGGUUUUGCUGUCACUUAUAGAUGGAUCCGCGCCGCAUUAGCUAGUUGGUAAGGUAACGGCUUACCAAGGCAACGAUGCGUAGCCGACCUGAGAGGGUGAUCGGCCACACUGGAACUGAGACACGGUCCAGCCUCCUACGGGAGGCAGCAGUAGGGAAUCUUCCGCAUUGGGCGAAAGCCUGACGGAGCAACGCCGCGUGAGUGAUGCAGGUCUUCGGAUCGUAAAACUCUGUUAUUAGGGAAGAACAAAUGUGUAAGUAACUAUGCACGUCUUGACGGUACCUAAUCAGAAAGCCACGGCUAACUACGUG
RNAcentral lists this ribosomal RNA (497 nucleotides) under uncultured bacterium. Its description in RNAcentral is "partial 16S ribosomal RNA". It matches the Rfam family "Bacterial small subunit ribosomal RNA", at positions 28 to 507 of the family's 1533-position model. The record is from RNAcentral.